Molecule: non-coding RNA, 390 nt
Organism: Pelobates cultripes (western spadefoot toad)
Lineage: Eukaryota; Metazoa; Chordata; Amphibia; Anura; Pelobatidae
Source: the annotation of a GenBank genome assembly
CCAGACUCUGUAAUAUUGAGAAACUACCCUACAACCUUCACACACAGUGAGAACCCCUCAUCUAACAUUCACUAGAAUAAAAAUCACACCUUCAACAUAAACUUGCAAGGAGAAAGUUCCUUUCUAACAGCUAGAAAUUCUCUACAGAACCCAAUUACUAUUUUAUCUUAUCAUUGACAAUUGUCUCUCCAACAUUCUUUAUGAAGACCACUCUCAUUAAUAAUCUCUAACAGUAAGAUUCCCUCCCCAACAAUCUCUGGAAUACAGUGCUCAAAAGAUUGCAUACCCUUGGAGAAUUGGAAAUAUAUGUACCAUUUAAAAAAAAAAAAAAAAACAUGAGUGAGCAGGCAAAACACAUUUCUUUUAUUUCUUAUGGGAUUCAUAUUCAAC